RNAcentral lists this ribosomal RNA (865 nucleotides) under uncultured Methanosaeta sp. RNAcentral describes it as "bacterial SSU rRNA". It matches the Rfam family "Archaeal small subunit ribosomal RNA", at positions 1 to 872 of the family's 1478-position model. The record is from RNAcentral. Lineage: Archaea; Methanobacteriati; Methanobacteriota; Methanomicrobia; Methanotrichales; Methanotrichaceae.
UUCCGGUUGAUCCUGCCAGAGGUUACUGCUAUCGAGGUUCGACUAAGCCAUGCGAGUCGAAUGUAGCAAUACAUGGCGUACUGCUCAGUAACACGUGGAUAACCUACCCUUGAGACGGGGAUAAACCCGGGAAACUGGGUAUAAUACCCGAUAGAUCUCGACUGCUGGAAUGCAUCGAGCUCUAAAGCUCCGGCGCUCAAGGAUGGGUCUGCGGCCUAUCAGGUAGUAGUGGGUGUAGCGUACCUACUAGCCUACGACGGGUACGGGUUGUGAGAGCAAGAGCCCGGAGAUGGAUUCUGAGGCACGAAUCCAGGCCCUACGGGGUGCGGCAGGCGCGAAAACUUUACAACGCUGGAAACAGCGAUAAGGGGACCUCGAGUGCCAGGUUACAAAUCUGGCUGUCGUGAUGCCUAAAAAGCAUUGCAUAGCAAGGGCCGGGCAAGACCGGUGCCAGCCGCCGCGGUAACACCGGCGGCUCGAGUGGUAACCGUUAUUAUUGGGUCUAAAGGGUCUGUAGCCGGCCGGAUAAGUCUCUUGGGAAAUCUGGCAGCUUAACUGUCAGGCUUUCAGGAGAUACUGUCUGGCUCGAGGCCGGGAGAGGUGAGAGGUACUUCAGGGGUAGGGGUGAAAUCUUGUAAUCCUUGAAGGACCACCAGUGGCGAAGGCGUCUCACCAGAACGGACCUGACGGCAAGGGACGAAAGCUAGGGGCACGAACCGGAUUAGAUACCCGGGUAGUCCUAGCCGUAAACGAUACUCGCUAGGUGUCGGCCACGGUGCGACCGUUGUCCGUGCCGUAGGGAAGCCGUGAAGCGAGCCACCUGGGAAGUACGGCCGCAAGGCUGAAACUGAAAGGAAUUGGCGGG